This 693-nucleotide ribosomal RNA is filed under the name Lactarius nitidus. RNAcentral's name for it is "eukaryotic LSU rRNA". The stretch from base 235 to 388 matches the Rfam family "5.8S ribosomal RNA". Lineage: Eukaryota; Fungi; Basidiomycota; Agaricomycetes; Russulales; Russulaceae. The record is from RNAcentral.
CUGCGGANGANCAUUAUCGNACAAAAUGUGAGAGGGGCAUGCGAGGGCUGUCGCUGACUCAAAGUCGUGCACGCCCGAGUGUGUCGCCUCACAUAAUAAUCCAUCUCACCCUUUGUGCAUCACCGCGUGGGCACCCCUUUGGGAUCAUCUCGGAGGGGGCUCGCGUUUUCACACAAAACCCCCCUUUUAAAAGUGUAGAAUGACCUCAUUUAUGCGCUAACCCGCAAUCAAUACAACUUUCAACAACGGAUCUCUUGGCUCUCGCAUCGAUGAAGAACGCAGCGAAAUGCGAUACGUAAUGUGAAUUGCAGAAUUCAGUGAAUCAUCGAAUCUUUGAACGCACCUUGCGCCCCCUGGUAUUCCGAGGGGCACACCCGUUUGAGUGUCGUGAAAACCUCAACCUCCUUGGUUUCUUCUGGAGACCAAAGCAGGCUUGGACUUUGGAGGCCUUUGCUGGCACCUCUCGCCAGCUCCUCUUAAAUGAAUUAGCAGGGUCCUCUUUGCUGAUCCUCGACGUGUGAUAAGAUGUUUCCAUGUCUUGGUUUCUGGCUCUGUCACCUUUGGGACCCGCUUCUAACCGUCUUCAACCUUGCGUUGAGACAACGUUCGAGCAUGUCUCCCUUCUCGGGAAGCUCCCUCGACCCCACGAACCCUUGACCUCAAAUCGGGUGAGACUACCCGCUGAACUUAAGC